UUUAAGGUCUAACCUGCCCAAUGAGGAUUUUAAUGGCCGCAGUAUUUUGACUGUGCAAAGGUAGCGUAAUUAUUAGUUUUUUAAUUGUAAGCUUGUAUGAAAGGUUGGACGAAAUAAAAUCUGUCUUUAUUUAAUUUAGAGUAAAAUUUAACUUUUAAGUAAAAAGGCUUAAAUUUUUAUAAAAGACGAGAAGACCCUAUAGAUCUUUAUUUGAUUUAGGAUUUUAAUAAUUUAAGAUUAUUUUAAUUUAGAGUUUUAAUUAAAUUUUAUUGGGGUAAUAUAAAGAUUAAAUUAAUUCUUUUUAUUAAUUACAUUGAUUUAUGAAUAUAUGAUCCAUUAAUAUUGAUUGUAAGAUUAAGUUACCUUAGGGAUAACAGCGUAAUUUUUUUGGAGAGCUCAUAUCGAUAAAAAAGUUUGCGACCUCGAUGUUGGAUUAAAAAUUAGCUUGGGUGUAGAAGUUCAAGAUUUUGGUCUGUUCGACCAUUAAAUUUUUACAUGAUCUGAGUUCAAACCGGCGUGAGCCAGGUCGGUUUCUAUCUUUAUUUAAUUAUAAUAUUUUAGUACGAAAGGACCAAAUAUUUAAUAUAUUAAUUAUUUAAGUUUGAAUAAUAUUAUUACUUUGGCAGAUUAGUGCAAUGAAUUUAGAAUUCAUAAAUGUAGAUUUUUACAAGUAAUACUUGUAUUUAGGUGAUUUAUUGUUAAUAAUUUUAUGUAUAUUAAUUUUAAUUAUUUGUGUAUUAGUAGGGGUAGCAUUUUUGACAUUGUUAGAACGAAAGGUGUUGGGUUAUAUUCAAAUUCGUAAGGGGCCAAAUAAGGUGGGAUUU
Molecule: ribosomal RNA, 824 nt
Filed under: Pentacomia discrepans
Lineage: Eukaryota; Metazoa; Arthropoda; Insecta; Coleoptera; Carabidae
Description: LSU rRNA
Rfam family: Bacterial large subunit ribosomal RNA (bases 1-564)
Source: RNAcentral